CAGCUUAAUCUUCUCCUAUAAUCACACAACCCCCCGUCAACCCUUAACCACUACUGAACCGCUUUAUAUCGUAUAAAAGCUAUCAUGCUAGAACUAGUAACAAGAACCACACUUCUCCUAAAUGUGAACUUAAGCCAAAACGGACCCUCCAUUGGCCAUUAACGUACAUGCAUUACCCAUAACAACAAUACACUAGAAAACCUUAUAGCACAGAACGUUAACCUAACACUAGAACAUUCAAGGAAAGAUUAAAAGAAAGAGAAGGAACUCGGCAAACCUUAGCCCCGCCUGUUUACCAAAAACAUCGCCUCUUGACACACAUAAGAGGUCCAGCCUGCCCAGUGACAAAGUUUAACGGCCGCGGUACCCUGACCGUGCGAAGGUAGCAUAAUCACUUGUUCUUUAAAUGAGGACUCGUAUCAAUGGCAUCACGAGGGCUAUACUGUCUCCUCUCUCCAAUCAGUGAAACUGAUCUUCCCGUGAAGAAGCGGGAAUUUAACUAUAAGACGAGAAGACCCCAUGGAGCUUUAAACACGAUAUUAACCCCACGCCCAAACACCAACUAAGCUACAGAAUCCUUAAUAUCUGCUUUAGGUUGGGGUGACCGCGGAGUAAAACACAACCUCCACGACUAACGGGCCACGCCCUUAUCCACGAACUACAAUUCCAAGAAUCAACAAACUGACGUUUAUGACCCGACAACUCGAUCAACGAACCAAGUUACCCUGGGGAUAACAGCGCAAUCCACUUCAAGAGCCCCUAUCGACAAGUGGGUUUACGACCUCGAUGUUGGAUCAGGGUGUCCCAGUGGUGCAGCCGCUAA
This 823-nucleotide ribosomal RNA is filed under the name Pulchrana glandulosa (glandular frog). RNAcentral's name for it is "partial 16S ribosomal RNA". It matches the Rfam family "Bacterial large subunit ribosomal RNA", at positions 1253 to 2568 of the family's 2925-position model. Lineage: Eukaryota; Metazoa; Chordata; Amphibia; Anura; Ranidae. The record is from RNAcentral.